GCCUGGGUGGCUCAGUCGGUUGAGCAUCUGACUUCAGCUCAGGUCAUGAUCUAGAAGUUGAGGAGUUUGAGCCCCAGGCA
This 80-nucleotide transfer RNA is filed under the name Felis catus (domestic cat). It matches the Rfam family "tRNA". From Rfam's summary of the family: Transfer RNA (tRNA) molecules are approximately 80 nucleotides in length. Their secondary structure includes four short double-helical elements and three loops (D, anti-codon, and T loops). Lineage: Eukaryota; Metazoa; Chordata; Mammalia; Carnivora; Felidae. The record is from Rfam by way of RNAcentral.